RNAcentral lists this ribosomal RNA (435 nucleotides) under uncultured bacterium. RNAcentral's name for it is "partial 16S ribosomal RNA". It matches the Rfam family "Bacterial small subunit ribosomal RNA", at positions 28 to 507 of the family's 1533-position model. The record is from RNAcentral.
GAUGAACGCUGGCGGUAUGCUUAACACAUGCAAGUCGAACGGACUCUUCGGAGUUAGUGGCGGACGGGUGAGUAACGCGUGAGAAUCUGGCUUUGGGUUCGGGACAACCACUGGAAACGGUGGCUAAUACCGGAUGUGCCGAGAGGUAAAAGAGAAAUUGCCUGAAGAUGAGCUCGCGUCUGAUUAGCUAGUUGGUGAGGUAAAGGCUCACCAAGGCAGCGAUCAGUAGCUGGUCUGAGAGGAUGACCAGCCACACUGGGACUGAGACACGGCCCAGACUCCUACGGGAGGCAGCAGUGGGGAAUUUUCCGCAAUGGGCGAAAGCCUGACGGAGCAAUACCGCGUGAGGGAAGAAGGCUCUUGGGUUGAAAACCUCUUUUCUUAGGGAAGAACAAAAUGACGGUACCUAAGGAAUCAGCAUCGGCUAACUCCGUG